GUGUGAGUUGUGAGAGCCGCCGAAGGAUGGGCUCAGCCCUUAGAAAUGCUUACUUCAUUUUCUCUCACUCCUUAAGCCCUACUCGAAACCCUAACACAAUUCCCCUAAUUCUUUGCCUCCAUUCCCUUCCAUCCAUUACCGUUUCUCGCCUUCCAUUGCAGACCAAACCUGAAGCGCAUCGCUCCCGCUCGGCCCCUGCUUCGUCUUUCUGUUCCUUCUCCUCUUCCAUGGCAGGCAGUGGCGCCGAGGCGGCGCCCUCUUCGGUGGAGAAGCAAUUCGAGGAUUUCAGAGUCCAGCUUCAGGAUUCUGGAAGCUUACGCGAGCGCAUUCGAAGUGUGGCAAUGGAGAUCGAGUCUUCCACGAGGCUUAUGCAGGCCAGCUUGCUUCUGGUUCACCAGUCUCGUCUGACUCCCGAGGUUCUUGAGAAGCCAAAAGCACAGGUUGGUUUACUAAAGUCGCUCUACAAGCGACUUGCUGAAAUUCUUCGUGAAAGCCCUGGCCUCUACUAUAGGUAUCAUGGAGACUGGAGGAGUGAGACGCAGACCGCUGUUUCGCAGCUUGCUUUUAUUAAUUGGCUAGAAACAGGAGAACUUCUUUUGCACACCGAAGCUGAGGAAAAACUUGGGUUAAAUGAAUCUGAUUUCAGUUUGGAUGUUGAAGACUAUCUUAUUGGCAUAUGUUUCAUGUCCAAUGAAUUGCCACGGUAUGUUGUCAACCAAGUGACAGUCGGAGACUAUGAUUGUCCAAGAAAGGUGCUCAAGUUUUUUACCGAUCUUCACGCAGCCUUCCGUAUGCUUAAUCUUCGCAACGAUUUUCUCCGCAAGAAAUUUGAUGGCAUGAAGUAUGACUUGCGAAGAGUUGAAGAAGUAUACUAUGAUGUUAAGAUUCGAGGCUUAUCGGCAACUGGCGAUUAAACGAGGAAACUAUCAUUGACUAUGAUACCAGAUGGUACCAGCACCAGAACACAGAAGUAAAAGGGUGAAACGGUCUCUGCCUGUCUUGAUUAUGUCAAAACUCAAAGAUGUUCUUCUUGGGUAACAAGUUUUGUCUGGUGUAAGGAUGAAAAAUGAUACCUGGGAUUAAUCUUAGAAGGAAAUGGUACUUAGGUUGCAAUAAUGGAUUACAAAGUAGUUUUCCAUGACUCUUGCAGAGCAGCGGUAGCCUCUUACUAUCCAAUCUGAGAUGGGGUUUUAUAAGGUACAUUUCUUGAGUAAUUUACAUUGUAAAAUGUAAUGUAAAUAUCUCAAACAAUUACAUGGCAAGGAUAUCGUGGGUAAUGUAAAUAUCUCAUUUUUAUUUUGUACAAGUAUUUUAAAAUAACUAGUUUGCGUUUGGUGGGUAAUUUGAAAACAAGGGAUUUAAUAUUUUUUUU
Molecule: RNA transcript, 1372 nt
Organism: Momordica charantia (bitter melon)
Lineage: Eukaryota; Viridiplantae; Streptophyta; Magnoliopsida; Cucurbitales; Cucurbitaceae
Gene name: Translin family protein
Source: RefSeq, a predicted model, not a curated record